Notothenia coriiceps (black rockcod) is the source of this 1913-nucleotide long non-coding RNA. RefSeq lists it as uncharacterized. The transcript is spliced from 4 exons. NCBI's taxonomy places the organism in Eukaryota, Metazoa, Chordata, Actinopteri, Perciformes, Nototheniidae. The record is from RefSeq and is a predicted model, not a curated record.
UGUGUGUGUGUGUGUGUGUGUGUGUGUGUGUGUGUGUGUGUGUGUGUGUGUGUGUGUGUGUGUUUGCAGGUGUUGGAUCUUCUGAACGGUAAAGAGUAUGAACCAAAGUCUCCACACAAAGCCUUCGCCGCUCCUCAAGGUGACCUGGCGAGUCUGGACGUGCAGGUGAAGCAGCAGGUGUGUCGCGCGUUGGAGAGUGAAGGAUGCUGGGAAAACCUGGCUCACAGCCUGAGCCUCGGGAUCCUCAACACGGCCUUCAGGCUGAGCCCCUCCCCCGCCAAAACCCUGCUGGACAGCUACGAGGUGUCAGGUGGGACUGUGCGGGAUCUACUCGCUGGUCUGAGGUCAGUCGGAGAGUGCAGAGCGCUGAGCGUCCUGGAGGAGGCUCUGCGUAACCACGACGACACUCAGCUGACCAAUGAGAGCGGAGGUGAGGUUCAGGUGCAGGAUGUGAAGGCGGAGGUGCAGAUCGACAGCGGGGUGUGUGACAGCGGAGUGGAGCUCUCCACAGCCUGAACAUCCAUCCCAUAAUCACAAACCAACCACUCAUCAGGAAGCUUUUUAACAAACUGUUUUUUAAUGAAAUGUGUUUUUAAACCUGUUGACAGAAACUCAAGAUGUAUUGAUGGCACUCCAACAACCAAAGAAUGUAAAAUAAGAAAAUAUAAGGAUUUGAAUGAGUUGAGGAUAUUUAGGAUCAUGUUCAGGGACAGACGGGGACAUCAGACGGAGGGUUUAGUUUCAGGGGAAAGGUGCUAUAACUAGAGAGAUGAUUGUAAAGACAUGUGCCCCAAAGCAUGGGUUCAAUCUGUUUGAAUAACUCUCACAUGUGGUAAUGUGAAGGGAUGCUGGUGUGAUUCCUCCUCUUCAGACAGGCUGGGGAUGAUCUGUUUAAAGAGUCCCUAUGUCCAGUUUGAGUUCAAAUGUUGCGCCCACAUUUAUGUUGAGAUUUUAGGAUUAUUCCCUUUUUAGAUAUCACAUUUCUUAUCCCUGAUUAUAGUGACCAGGUUCCAACAAGCCACGUGGGGGAAAGAAGACGUGUAGUGCGUUGCUAAGAGCUACUUUAGAUUUUAAUAUAAUGUCUAUCCAACCCUUCAAAUAAAUGGUGAAUGGACUGUUCUUAUAAAUCUCUUUAUCAGGUGUUCUCGACCUCUCAAAGCUUUACAUUACACACACACACACGCACGCACGCACGCACGCACGCACGCACGCACGCACACACACACACACACCCACCCACCCACGCACGCACGCACGCACACACACACACACACACACACACACACACACACACGACGAACGCACUCCCUCUCUGUGAAUCUCGUCGUCCAGCGACUACACCUUUAAGUAAACACAUGUCUCUGCUGAUUGAUUGACAUCUGAGGCAGCCAAUGGGCAUCGCCCUCUCUUGUUUUAUAAAAAAUGUUGGAUAAAAGCGGAUAAAAGCCACGUUUCAGACGGGCGACUGUCAAUCAAAUGCAGGAUAUGGACUAUUUGUGGGACACCCUAUGCCUGAUAUGAACUGGAGUGUAUCUGUCCGUAUGAACAGGAGGAAUCAUUACAACACGGUUUCACUUAUAAACAUGUGGAAAUGAAUAUGACUUUAAAACAUUGAAAUCUGUCUUUUAGGUGUCAAAAAAAAAAGUUUUUGUUUAGUUGUUUUGGCCCAUUUAUUUUCUGUCUGUUUCACCACUGAACGCUUUGAAAUACUUGAUUUGCUAAAACAUGUUUUUUCAUGUCAGUGUGAUCCUCUGAUAAAAUAAGACUAUUGCAAGGCAUUGUGGGAAAGGAAGUCCAGAGCUGUGAGGAGUUGUAGACUUUUCUCUAUUUAUAUCUUCACCCAGCACUGUACAGUUCAACACAGGCUUUUCAUUGGUUGUUAUUUUUUAAAUAAAGUUGUUUUUUUAUAUAUA